GAGUUUGAUCCUGGCUCAGGACGAACGCUGGCGGCGCGCCUAACACAUGCAAGUCGAACGGACUUUAAGGAGCUUGCUCUUUAAAGUUAGUGGCGGACGGGUGAGUAACACGUGAGCAACCUGCCUUUCAGAGGGGGACAACAGUUGGAAACGACUGCUAAUACCGCAUAACGUUACGCGGAGGCAUCUCCAUGUAACCAAAGAUUUAUCGCUGAAAGAUGGGCUCGCGUCUGAUUAGAUAGUUGGUGAGGUAACGGCCCACCAAGUCGACGAUCAGUAGCCGGACUGAGAGGUUGAACGGCCACAUUGGGACUGAGACACGGCCCAGACUCCUACGGGAGGCAGCAGUGGGGGAUAUUGGACAAUGGGGGCAACCCUGAUCCAGCGACGCCGCGUGAGGGAAGAAGGUUUUCGGAUUGUAAACCUCUGUUGACAGGGAAGAAAAUGACAGUACCUGUUUAGAAAGCCACGGCUAACUACGUGCCAGCAGCCGCGGUAAUACGUAGGUGGCAAGCGUUGUCCGGAAUUACUGGGUGUAAAGGGAGCGUAGGCGGGGCGCCAAGUCAGAAGUGAAAAUUAUGGGCUCAACUCAUAACCUGCUUUUGAAACUGGUGCUCUUGAGUGAAGUAGAGGCAAGCGGAAUUCCUAGUGUAGCGGUGAAAUGCGUAGAUAUUAGGAGGAACACCAGUGGCGAAGGCGGCUUGCUGGGCUUUUACUGACGCUGAGGCUCGAAAGCGUGGGGAGCAAACAGGAUUAGAUACCCUGGUAGUCCACGCUGUAAACGAUGAUUACUAGGUGUGGGGGGAUUGACCCCUUCCGUGCCGCAGUUAACACAAUAAGUAAUCCACCUGGGGAGUACGACCGCAAGGUUGAAACUCAAAGGAAUUGACGGGGGCCCGCACAAGCAGUGGAGUAUGUGGAUUAAUUCGAAGCAACGCGAAGAACCUUACCGGGUCUUGACAUCGAGUGACCGCUCUAGAGAUAGAGCUUUCUCUUCGGAGACACGAAGACAGGUGGUGCAUGGUUGUCGUCAGCUCGUGUCGUGAGAUGUUGGGUUAAGUCCCGCAACGAGCGCAACCCUUAUCCCCAGUAGCCAGCGGCGUGGCCGGGCACUCUGAGGAGACUGCCAGGGACAACCUGGAGGAAGGUGGGGAUGACGUCAAAUCAUCAUGCCCCUUAUGACCUGGGCUACACACGUGCUACAAUGGCGUAACAGAGGGAAGCAAACCCGCGAGGGGGAGCGAACCCCAAAAAUAACGUCCCAGUUCGGACUGAAGUCUGCAACCCGACUUCACGAAGCUGGAAUCGCUAGUAAUCGCGAAUCAGCAUGUCGCGGUGAAUACGUUCCCGGGUCUUGUACACACCGCCCGUCACACCAUGGGAGUCAGAAACGCCCGAAGUCAGUGACCCAACCGCAAGGAGGGAGCUGCCGAAGGCGGGUCUGGUAACUGGGGUGAAGUCGUAACAAGGUAGCCGUAUCGGAAGGUGCGGCUGGAUCACCUCCUU
This 1506-nucleotide ribosomal RNA is filed under the name uncultured bacterium. Its description in RNAcentral is "bacterial SSU rRNA". It matches the Rfam family "Bacterial small subunit ribosomal RNA". The record is from RNAcentral.